UCAAAUCCAAAAACCCUCAUCCUGAUAAAUUCCAGUUUGAUCUUAACAGAACCAUUUUUCCAACCACAUUUUUCAAUAGAAUUAAUCAUAAUUUGCAAAGCACCCAGGGUAAGAAUAUUAAGGUCAUCAAAUUCGAAAAUUAUCUAAUGAAGAUACAAACACGAGAACGAUUCGAAACUAUUUAAAUGACAAAAUGGAUCGCUUUACUUUUAGAAAAAGAGAUGUUAAUGUCAUAACUUCCAGUUAAGAUGACAAAGUGCCAAACCACUUCUGAAAUACAAAAACAGGGAGGAUAGAAAGACAGGGAUGAUUCGAGACGAACAAGAAAGCAAAAAUGUUUCGCUAUUACAUUUAAGAAAAAAUGUGUUGUGAUGUUAAUGACAUACUCAACACUAAAGUUGACAAGUGCCAAAUCACAUGUGACAGAUCUAGUGAGAAUAAACAGGUCAGUAUGAUUGUGAUGGUUAAACUUCAGAUUUUUGCUACUAUUCUUAAGCAAAAGGUAUUAAUGUAGUAACUACUUCUAAAGAUGACCAAAAAUCUAAACACUUUUGAAAACCAAAACAAGAAGGAUAUGAAGACCGGUUCGAUUCGAAACAAUCACGGUGCAAAAAGUGUUGCUGUCACUUUUUAAAAAAGAUAUAUUAAUGAAAUACACAUCACUGAAGUUGACGAUGUUCCAAAACAUGACAUCCUGCUUAUGACAGAGUCAAAACAAGGAAAAAGUAAGACCAGGAUGAUUCGAGAGGAUAAAGAGGCAAAAAUGUUGUUAUCGCUAUUAAAAGAGGUUAAAAUGUAUUUUUAAAGCGUUGGAAACCAGUCCGAAUAGCAAAUUUAUAAAUUUGUUAUCUAAACGUUUUUUCUCUAUUCCGAUACACUUUUUAAUCACAUGUUGCAACGUUAAACAGUUUCAAGAGCUAUUUACACAGUGGACAUUGUUUUAAAUAUAUUAUAAUGCCGUGCAAACUUUCAGAAAUCCUUCUUUUAAUUUUUAUUUUCAACGAGUACUGUUCCCAGUUUUGUGUGAAAAUGCUGAUAUAUUAUCAUUUGAAAAUAGACAAGACACAGUCAGUGCAAGAUGCCAUGAUUGCGUUCCAUUUGUACACUGCGUUUUUUUGUUUGUCUGUUGUUCUAGUGGACCUAAUCGCAAAUUCCAGGUUGGGCGAAUUCUGGACUAUAGCCGUUCUGAGUUUAGUAAGUGUGACAGGAUAUGUGGCUUUGUUCGCCGAAGAUAUAUUGAUUGACAGCGAUUACACGUGGUGGGUUUGUUUGCUGAUUGUGCUCGCAGUAACGACGGGAGGCAAUUUCACGUGUGUCAAGUUCAUGUGCUACUCCCAGUACAGCAUGCCAGAUGAAAAGGAUAGAUACAAAAGGAUGCUGUUCACGAUCGUAGUUUUCAGGUGCUUAGGAGAGCUGUACGGAAGUCUGUCGAUAUCCUUAUUUUCGGAUGUAUCGGAUCCUGGGAGUAAAUUGAAUAAGACGGUGUUCAUAGUCGUUCAUAAAGUCAUCGGCACGGUGUUUAUUCUCAGCGGUUACCCAGUAUACAGACGGAGAGAAAUCAAGAGAAAUUACCUGUACAACUUCGUUACCGCCUCUUUUCACGCCUUGAAGAGGAGGAGGCUCUCUCUGAAUAUGGACAAUGGAGAUGAUCAGGAUAGACGGAAAAAUGAAAUCAUAAACAAAAGCGAUUACGAAAAAAUCAAAAUGAUCUAUCACGUUCUGCCUUUGUACGCACCCAUUGUGGUCAUUUUGGCUUUUAAGGAACAGAAGUUUACCACGUUUGUCUACCAGACUGAAGCCAUGUCAAAAACCAUCGCUGAAGGUGUGACCAUACACCCUUUGACCAUACUGUCGUUCUUCCCGUUUUUUACUUUACUGGUAGUUUUAAUUUUUCACGGGAUAGCGAUACCUAUGGCCCUUAGGUAUGGUUACAACUUCGGGGCUUCUCAUGCAAGGACGUUGUUGGCUUUUUCCUGUUUGGCGAUUUCCUUCGCGGCGGCGUCUAUCGUCGAAAUCCAAAUUGAAGAAAACCGCCCGCCGAUGUCGAAAACCGGAAUCGGAAUUCUCCUUAUAUACAAUGCGUUACCGUGUCAAAUAAAUAUCGGGUUCGAAGGUGGCCUGGGCACGCUGAAUCCUGUAGAACCGUUCUCUUUUCAGCACAGCUUUCAACAGCACGUUCAAAACGAACUUUUGAGGGUGAUGACUGUGCGAUCGACCUGCUUUGAUGAAAAAAUACGAGAGUCUUUCAACAUAAAACUUUCGGAAUUUAAAAGUUAUACCUACUGCCUCUUCUACAACAGGACCGGAGUGGGUAAAAUUUACCAUGUUGAACUGACGCAGCCAAACACGAAUUUUGGUAUCGACGCCAAACCGUGGCUUAGGAUCAUAUAUCAAAUGGUGUGGCCUACAAAGUUCACACUAUCAGGCAGAUUAAAGCUUUCUUUCAAUCUUGACCCUUUUCACCAUGAAAUAGAGCCCAGAGCCAUUCAUGAUUUUUCUGAAAGGUACAAUCUGUUUCUCAAUGAGAGUUUGGUACUUUCCGAUCUGUAUUUUGCUUCUGGAACUUUUUACACAAUAUUGAUUGUCCAUUUGGAAAACGAAGGCAUGUUCACACAUGUUUUAACGACAUCUAGCCCCAAAGAGGAAAAUAUACUUUAUCUUAUUCCACAAAUAUUUUUCAUGUCCGUGAUGGAUGGUUUAGUUUUAGCACCUGGUUUUAUCUAUAAUAAAUCUAAGGUCCCGCUAAAGUGGACUGAGGUGAUGAUUACCUUGUGGUUCAUUUCCGGUUUUAUUGGAAAUUGUUUGAUAGCUGUUUUUAUAAAAUAUGUGUUCGGAACUAGACAGUUAUAUUCUUUAGUAGCGGCAGUCAUAAGUAUUUCUUUGAGCAUUUCAAUUUUGGUGGCGAUGACGAUGACAUAUUACAAAGAAAAUUAUCCUGAUAAAGUGAAAAAAAAUAGUGCUCAUCUUUAUCUGCAAGUUGGAGACUAGACUCUCAAAAGAAAACAAAAGUGGCUUCCAUUCUAAAGUUGUAACUGUAAAACCUUUUUGGGGAACCAUUUGGUUAUACAACUACUGCGACAGGUAAACUGUCUCCAGUGCCAGUUCUGCUCGUUGAAUCUAUAAAUUAUUUCAACGGAACGAAAGAAUGACCAAAUAGUCAUUUCAAAACCCAGCUUGACAAGGAUGACAAACUCCAAAAAGAAUAACUUAAUAAUUUUAAAAUUUAUACAACUUAAGAAUCUUCCCAUAUAGGCAAGAUUGAAUUUUUUUUAGCUGUGUACAUAGUGAAUUGAAUAGUAGUAUUACAAUUCAGAAAAUUUGUAUGUACUUCUUAACAUAAAUAUACUUUCAACAGUACAGUAAA
This is an RNA transcript of Cimex lectularius (bed bug), 3364 nucleotides long. It is a transcript of the gene named peptide transporter family 1-like, with no coding region annotated. The record is from RefSeq and is a predicted model, not a curated record. NCBI's taxonomy places the organism in Eukaryota, Metazoa, Arthropoda, Insecta, Hemiptera, Cimicidae. The transcript is spliced from 16 exons.